GUGAAGCGGCAAGAGCUCAAAUUUGAAAUCUGGCCUCCCCCGGGGGCCCGAGUUGUAAUUUGCAGAGGAUGCUUCGGGUGCGGCCGCCGUCUAAGUUCCUUGGAACAGGACGUCAGAGAGGGUGAGAAUCCCGUCUUGGGCGGGCGGUCCGCGCCCGUGUGAAGCUCCUUCGACGAGUCGAGUUGUUUGGGAAUGCAGCUCUAAGCGGGUGGUAAAUUUCAUCUAAAGCUAAAUAUUGGCCGGAGACCGAUAGCGCACAAGUAGAGUGAUCGAAAGGUUAAAAGCACCUUGAAAAGGGAGUUAAACAGCACGUGAAAUUGUUGAAAGGGAAGCGCUUGCGGCCAGACUCGGGGGCGGGGUUCAGCGGGUGCUCGUCGCCCGUGUAUUCCUCGUCUCCCGGGCCAGCAUCAGUUUCGACGGCCGGUCAAAGGCCCCCGGAAUGUGUCGUCUCUCGGGACGUCUUAUAGCCGGGGGUGCAAUGCGGCCCGUCGGGACUGAGGAAC
RNAcentral lists this ribosomal RNA (503 nucleotides) under Trichophyton sp. FSU 10097. Its description in RNAcentral is "eukaryotic LSU rRNA". It matches the Rfam family "Eukaryotic large subunit ribosomal RNA", at positions 93 to 597 of the family's 3401-position model. The record is from RNAcentral. Lineage: Eukaryota; Fungi; Ascomycota; Eurotiomycetes; Onygenales; Arthrodermataceae.